Molecule: ribosomal RNA, 422 nt
Filed under: uncultured bacterium
Lineage: Bacteria
Description: bacterial SSU rRNA
Rfam family: Bacterial small subunit ribosomal RNA
Source: RNAcentral
GACGAACGCUGGCGGCGUGCUUAACACAUGCAAGUCGAACGGUAAGGCCUUUCGGGGUACACGAGUGGCGAACGGGUGAGUAACACGUGGUGAUCUGCCCUGCACUUUGGGAUAAGCCUGGGAAACUGGGUCUAAUACCGAAUAGGACCAUGGACUUCACGGUUUGUGGUGGAAAGCUUUUGCGGUGUGGGAUGGGCCCGCGGCCUAUCAGCUUGUUGGUGGGGUAAUGGCCUACCAAGGCGACGACGGGUAGCCGGCCUGAGAGGGUGACCGGCCACACUGGGACUGAGAUACGGCCCAGACUCCUACGGGAGGCAGCAGUGGGGAAUAUUGCACAAUGGGCGCAAGCCUGAUGCAGCGACGCCGCGUGAGGGAUGACGGCCUCGGUGUAACCGUACUUCUAGCACAGACGAAGCGCAAGU